This 497-nucleotide ribosomal RNA is filed under the name uncultured bacterium. RNAcentral's name for it is "partial 16S ribosomal RNA". It matches the Rfam family "Bacterial small subunit ribosomal RNA", at positions 28 to 507 of the family's 1533-position model. The record is from RNAcentral.
GAUGAACGCUGGCGGCGUGCCUAAUACAUGCAAGUCGAGCGAACAGACGAGGAGCUUGCUCCUCUGACGUUAGCGGCGGACGGGUGAGUAACACGUGGAUAACCUACCUAUAAGACUGGGAUAACUUCGGGAAACCGGAGCUAAUACCAGAUAAUAUAUUGAACCGCAUGGUUCAAUAGUGAAAGACGGUUUUGCUGUCACUUAUAGAUGGAUCCGCGCCGCAUUAGCUAGUUGGUAAGGUAACGGCUUACCAAGGCAACGAUGCGUAGCCGACCUGAGAGGGUGAUCGGCCACACUGGAACUGAGACACGGUCCAGACUCCUACGGGAGGCAGCAGUAGGGAAUCUUCCGCAGUGGGCGAAAGCCUGACGGAGCAACGCCGCGUGAGUGAUGAAGGUCUUCGGAUCGUAAAACUCUGUUAUUAGGGAAGAACAAAUGUGUAAGUAACUGUGCACGUCUUGACGGUACCUAAUCAGAAAGCCACGGCUAACUACGUG